RNAcentral lists this ribosomal RNA (253 nucleotides) under uncultured bacterium. RNAcentral's name for it is "partial 16S ribosomal RNA". It matches the Rfam family "Bacterial small subunit ribosomal RNA", at positions 524 to 776 of the family's 1533-position model. The record is from RNAcentral.
UACGGAGGGUGCUAGCGUUGUUCGGAAUCACUGGGCGUAAAGCGCGUGUAGGCGGCCGACUAGGUCUGAUGUGAAAGCCCGGGGCUCACCCCCGGAAGUGCAUUGGAAACUGGUAGGCUCGAGUCCCGGAGAGGAGGGUGGAAUUCCUGGUGUAGCGGUGAAAUGCGUAGAUAUCAGGAGGAACACCGGUGGCGAAGGCGGCCCUCUGGACGGUGACUGACGCUGAGACGCGAAAGCGUGGGGAGCAAACAGG